Molecule: long non-coding RNA, 1462 nt
Organism: Balaenoptera acutorostrata (minke whale)
Lineage: Eukaryota; Metazoa; Chordata; Mammalia; Artiodactyla; Balaenopteridae
Exons: 3
Source: RefSeq, a predicted model, not a curated record
UUGCCCAGUUUUCCCAUUUUAGAUUUUAUGGCGUUCAAACUAAAAUUUUAUAGUGUUUUAAGUUUGAGCCAGAUGCUUAUGAUGGCCCAUUAAGAGCUAAGGUGCCCUCAAUUGGAUUGUGUUUUCAACAAUUUGAUGGAGAUUGUAACUGCUAAACCCUGUCUCCCGUUUAUUCACGUGUAUCGCAAUGACAAUCCACUUGGCACACUUUGGGCUGGUCCAAAUCUGUGUGGAGGCUGGGGAAGGAAGGGCCUCUUUUAGAGGGUAGUGCUUAUCUGGUUGCCCUGCUCUAGCCCUUGGGCAGCACCUUCAGUGUGACUUUUAUGUGGAUGGUGGCCUUUCCUGUGCUGCUGGCAUUGUCCUCCAUGUGAUUGUGAUGUUUUGCCUGCAGGCGUUUCUAGCCUGCAAGGGAGCACAGCUUGAGGCAUAAGGAAACAGAUACAGAUCAGGUGCAGCUCCCAUGGGAGACCCGAUUACUCUCAGGAGCCUAGACAACGACUGCUGCUACUUCCUGCACCUGGAGAUUCAGGGGGGUCUCCUUUCCCUGGCAGUUUUGCCACUGGCUUCGGAGCAACUGGAUUUGAAAGCUGAUGGCUGAGGCUGACUAACAGACUUCUCCAGAGUAAUCCAUAGCAAGCAAUUUAAAACCAAAGGAAUGGGGUGCUGAAUAGACUGUCUGGAAUCCAACCAUUUUUUGUGAGGAGCUGCAGCCCUAUAGAAUGGGUGACAGUGUCUUUUGGGAGUACAGGUAAGUAUUGCAUUACUGGGGCCAGCAGAUUAGAGAGUUGGUUUCUGCAAAUCAAGGAGCUCUAGUACCAAGGAGUUAAAAAGCUUUGGGAAAGUAUCUCAGCUUAAAAUUGUUAGUCAUGUUAUUUGAAGUAGAGGAUUCUCAACUUUUGUUCCUUCAGCUUUAUGAAAAGAUGAGCAGUGACCCCAAUGACUAUUAUUUUAUGCUAAAUCUCAUUAUUUCAUUGGCAAGACAAAGAGAAUGGGCUGAGGGCAAACCAACACUAUGACUUGUUUCUGAAUGAGCUGGUUCUGAGCUCAUCUGAUGAACAUGAAAAUAUUGUGACAUUAUGAACUGACCCUUGAAUGUUUUGAGUUUUACAAAUGCUAAAUAUGCAUUGUUCAAACUGGAUAGGGUAGUUAAAGAGCCCCUAUUCCAUCAGCCUGUGGACAUUACCAAAUAAGCCUACACCUUCAGAGCAAAUUCUAGAGAUUCCCUGAGGGAGAUUUCUUGAAGCAAAAGUUUGUUAAAGUGACAUUUUUGUUUACUUUCUUGGUUAGCAGUAUUUAGCCAUACUAGAAAAGCUAUGAUAUAUCUUUUGCCAUUUCCAUCCAUGUACACGUGUCAGUUUGGAAUCUCUCUAUUGGUAAAAACUAAAAAUCUGAACCAUUCAAUGAUGUAAGAUAUCAUCUUUGUCUUAAACUAAGAUACUAGAGCUGAUUUUCUCUUUUAAAA